RNAcentral lists this long non-coding RNA (1046 nucleotides) under Homo sapiens (human). RNAcentral describes it as "novel transcript". Lineage: Eukaryota; Metazoa; Chordata; Mammalia; Primates; Hominidae. The record is from RNAcentral.
GAGGAUGGGCAAAGUGUCAGGCUCUUGGUGCAGCUGAAAAUCCUUUGAGAUGGAAGAAAUGGCUGGAACAAAGGGGCAGAGGAACAAAAAGCCCUGAACUGCUUCGCCCCUGCCUCGUGGGGUCUUUAUCAUCUUAAACCUUGGGAUUUGGGCUUUGAUCAACUCGGCCUUCCUGGGCCUCGGGGAGAGAGACGGACUGCCUCCGGGUGCUCAUGACCUUUCCAGCAGUAAGCCAAUAAUGUAUGACUCCUGCGUUGCCGUUGCUCGUUUGAGGCACAGUGGAUUGAAGAGGGGGGCAGUGCUGAGUCAUUCACGUGGUGUGUGAGGGCUCCUGUUUGUAAAUCAGGGAUUCUUGCAGCCUGCUUUUUCAGGGACAUUGGCUGCUGUCUUCUGACCCACCCUGUGUGGCUUUGGCGUCUCCUGUGACCUCCCAGUAUGGGUCUUGGCCUCAUCCUGCCUCUUUGUCUUUCUGGCCCACCACCCACAGCUUGAAUCUCAGGCUCCAACAGUUGCCUGACCCCCAGAUUCUGAUGACAGCCUACCUACUUGUUCUUCAGGCCCUCACCAGACUCACUGCCCAGACACACCACACAGGAGAACAUGAAAGGGUGAAUGAAUCUUUCAUCAUUUGAUGACCAAGUUGGCAUUCUUUUACAUUCCAGCCACCAGAGGAAGGUGUAUUUUAACACAAUUGCCCUCACAUCCUCCUUAACAGGAUUUACAUAAGUUUAUUAACACAUAUGUUUCUACAAAAUCAAGUUUUGAGAACCAUUUUUAUACACUGAUCUGGGACAUUUUGGGGAUAUGAAAUUAACUUUAGCACACACAGCAAGAAGAAAACCGAACAACAAAUUCUACAAACACCAAAUUUGCUGUGAAAUUUACAUUUCAGAAUCUCUCAAGAAAUAGUGCCCAGCAGCAAUUCUUACUGUUUUCACUUUUUCCCCCGUCUUCACAUUUUUAUGUUUGACAGUGCCAACAUAUUUUCUCAACAUUUAUUCUGAAAGGAAUGUACUUUGUGAAUUCCUUAAAUGCAGGAUGAUUCU